Non-coding RNA from Rattus norvegicus (Norway rat), 1749 nucleotides. The record is from RefSeq and is a predicted model, not a curated record. Lineage: Eukaryota; Metazoa; Chordata; Mammalia; Rodentia; Muridae.
UACUUGCUCUUGAGGGUGGUUAGUGGUGGUGGUGGUGGUUAAGUCAGUUCUGAAACAGCAAAGGAAAUAGCAGUUUGUUCUUGUUGUUGCUUUUUGUUUUGUUUUGUUUUCUGAAAUUUUCUAUCACAAUGUCCAUAGUUGGAAAAAAGAGCCUAGGUAGUAAAUCUGAGGUGGCAGCUUAGUGUCAUUGUUCUUCGGAUUUCUCCACUUUCCCUGUCUUUGGGUGCCAGUUUCAUGUGUGUGCUGGUAAUCCAGUAUUUAUGAAAUAAAUUUUGCUACAUGCAUUUUGCCUCCAACUCCAUGUGGCUUGCACCUGUACGUGACAAGUCUGGAAUCCCACACUCUUUUCUCUGCCAGCCUGUCUACACUUGGAACUCUGCAUGAGCUUUGGGCUGCACCUGUACCAGGAGGUACACGCUGUUCACAUGUGUGUGUCCAACCCAAGCCUGCGUUCAGCUGGAUGGAUCCUCUGAGCGUGCUCUGGCCCCCAGUGGCUUCAAGAGGCUGUAAUUGGCAAGGCGCACACAGCCGGUAGCUGGAAGCCAAGAUACCACUGGAGCUCUCUGAUCCCGUUCUUACAGCUUUCCUGGAACAGCAUGGUUUACUUCAGCUAAUCAUGUCAAUCACAGGCCUUCUCUUCCAACAAUCCUUAAAACCAGCAAGUCCUUUGUGGCAGACAAUACGUAUGUUAACAUUGCCUCAGAGAUUUCAAGAAAAGAUCCUCCUACCUGAUGAAGGGAAUAGAUUAAUUUCAUCUGCUCACUUUGUCCAGGAAAGUUUUGUAGCCAGCUCUCUGAGCCUCCUCCUAUACCUGUACUGCAGAGGAUCAGAUAUCAAUCAGAUAUCAGUGCUUGCCUGGAAUUCCAGCACUGGGGCAAUCUGGAGAGCAACAUGCAUUUCACAAAAGACAGCGAUGCUAUCUGCCUGGAAGUGUACUUUCUGAUUGACGGUAGAUAUUUGUGUUUCUUCCUUUGUAAUUUGUUUUUAUUUUAUUUCUUGCACUUGCCUUAUUGCAGUGGCUCAAAUUUCAUGGAAUAUUCUAGUUAGAGUUAUGAGAGUAGACAUCAUUGCUUUCUUACUGAUGUAAGGAGAAAAGAUUCAUUACUUGCAUUUGAAUAUACUGCCAGCUACAGGUGUUUGGCUUUGGGUUUAUGUUUGAGAAAGUUUUAAAUGUAUACCUGUAUUAUCUGAGAAUUGCUUUUGGUAGAUGAUCACUUUUAAAGAUCAUUUUACAUCGAUGAAGUACAUCGUGUUUAUUUUCCUUAAGGUCUUGGUAUAAUGGAAUACCUCUAUAGAUUUUUGAAUACUGUAUUAUGUACUGUGCCUGAAAUAAAUAAAUUGUACUUAUUAAUUAUUUGUAAAUUCUAAUUUUACCUUUUUAUUGUAUUUUUAUAUAUUUGUAUGUGACACAGAGUCUCACACAUCCAAAACUAGCCAAGAAAGGCAUUGAACGUCAGAUCUUCUUUUCCAGCUGCAAAGGAGAGGUCUAGCAGGCUUGUGCCAUCAUGUAUAAUUUAUUUGAUGCUGGAGGUUGAACAGAAAGCACUAUGCAUUAUUGUCAAGUAGUCUUACCAAAGGGCUAUAGACCAAGCCAUGUCUGAUACUUUUUGAAAGGAUUUCAUGCCCAUAUUUGUGAGAAACAAUUGCAUAUACUUCAUAUGAGCAUUAGCAACAUAUAGUAUCGAAGUAGACUCUGAUGGUAGCUUUAAAAUUAAAUUUUGAAAUAAAGUUUUGAUGAUGAAAAAUAAA